Molecule: ribosomal RNA, 369 nt
Filed under: uncultured Rhodospirillaceae bacterium
Lineage: Bacteria; Pseudomonadati; Pseudomonadota; Alphaproteobacteria; Rhodospirillales; Rhodospirillaceae
Description: bacterial SSU rRNA
Rfam family: Bacterial small subunit ribosomal RNA
Source: RNAcentral
GGUUCGGCCGGGUGGAACACAGGUGCUGCAUGGGCUGUCGUCAGCUCGUGUCGUGAGAUGUUGGGUUAAGUCCCGCAACGAGCGCAACCCUCACCUUUAGUUGCUACCAGGUUAUGCUGGGCACUCUAGAGGAACCGCCGGUGAUAAGCCGGAGGAAGGCGGGGAUGACGUCAAGUCCUCAUGGCCCUUACGGGCUGGGCUACACACGUACUACAAUGGUGGUGACAGUGGGAUGCGAAAGCGCGAGCUGGAGCGAAUCCCCAAAAGCCAUCUCAGUUCGGAUUGCACUCUGCAACUCGAGUGCAUGAAGUUGGAAUCGCUAGUAAUCGUGGAUCAGAAUGCCCACGGUCCGAAUACGUUCCGGGCCUU